CUACGGGCGGCUGCAGUGGGGAAUAUUGCACAAUGGAGGAAACUCUGAUGCAGCAACGCCGCGUGGAGGAUGACACUUUUCGGAGCGUAAACUCCUUUUAUAUAGGAAGAAGAUGACGGUACUAUAUGAAUAAGCGCCGGCUAACUCCGUGCCAGCAGCCGCGGUAAUACGGAGGGCGCAAGCGUUACUCGGAAUCACUGGGCGUAAAGAGCGUGUAGGCGGAUUAAAAAGUCAGAAGUGAAAUCCUAUAGCUUAACUAUAGAACUGCUUCUGAAACUCUUAAUCUAGAAUAUGGGAGAGGUAGAUGGAAUUUCUGGUGUAGGGGUAAAAUCCGUAGAGAUCAGAAGGAAUACCGAUUGCGAAGGCGAUCUACUAGAACAGUAUUGACGCUGAGACGCGAAAGCGUGGGGAGCAAACAGGAUUAGAUACCCGGGUAGUC
RNAcentral lists this ribosomal RNA (439 nucleotides) under uncultured bacterium. RNAcentral describes it as "partial 16S ribosomal RNA". It matches the Rfam family "Bacterial small subunit ribosomal RNA", at positions 339 to 795 of the family's 1533-position model. The record is from RNAcentral.